RNAcentral lists this ribosomal RNA (445 nucleotides) under uncultured bacterium. RNAcentral's name for it is "bacterial SSU rRNA". It matches the Rfam family "Bacterial small subunit ribosomal RNA", at positions 57 to 494 of the family's 1533-position model. The record is from RNAcentral.
GCAGUCGAACGGCAGCGCGGGCUUCGGCACUGGCGGCGAGUGGCGAACGGGUGAGUAAUGCAUCGGAACGUGCCCAUGUCGGGGGGGAUAACGUAUCGAAAGCUACGCUAAUACCGCAUACGCCCUGAGGGGGAAAGCGGGGGAUUCUUCGGAACCUCGCGCGAUUGGAGCGGCCGAUGUCGGAUUAGCUAGUAGGUGAGGUAAAGGCUCACCUAGGCGACGAUCCGUAGCGGGUCUGAGAGGAUGAUCCGCCCCACUGGGACUGAAACACGGCCCAGACUCCUACGGGAGGCAGCAGUGGGGAAUUUUGGACAAUGGGGGCAACCCUGAUCCAGCCCUGCCGCGUGAGUGAAGAAGGCCUUCGGGUUGUAAAGCUCUUUCGGCCGGGAAGAAAUCGGGGACUCUAACAUAGGCGCUGGAUGACGGUACCGGACUAAGAAGCACC